CCCUGCCUCUCCGGAGGUUCGGGGCGCCCGCCGGAGGUACGAAACUCUGUAUUAUAGUGGCAUCUCUGAGUAUAAAACAAAUAAGUUAAAACUUUCAACAACGGAUCUCUUGGUUCUGGCAUCGAUGAAGAACGCAGCGAAAUGCGAUAAGUAAUGUGAAUUGCAGAAUUCAGUGAAUCAUCGAAUCUUUGAACGCACAUUGCGCCCGGUAGUACUCUACCGGGCAUGCCUGUUCGAGCGUCAUUUCAACCCUCAAGCCCUGCUUGGUGUUGGGGCCCUACGGCUGCCGUAGGCCCUGAAAGGAAGUGGCGGGCUCGCUACAACUCCGAGCGUAGUAAUUCAUUAUCUCGCUAGGGAGGUUGCGGCGUGCUCCUGCCGUUAAAGACCCAUCUUUAACCAAGGUUGACCUCGGAUCAGGUAGGAAUACCCGCUGAACUUAAGCAUAUCAAUAAGCGGAGGAAAAGAAACCAACAGGGAUUGCCCUAGUAACGGCGAGUGAAGCGGCAACAGCUCAAAUUUGAAAUCUGGCUUCGGCCCGAGUUGUAAUUUGUAGAGGAUGCUUUUGGUGAGGUGCCUUCUGAGUUCCCUGGAACGGGACGCCAGAGAGGGUGAGAGCCCCGUAUAGUCGGCCACCGAUCCUUUGUAAAGCUCCUUCGACGAGUCGAGUAGUUUGGGAAUGCUGCUCAAAAUGGGAGGUAUAUCUCUUCUAAAGCUAAAUAUAGGCCAGAGACCGAUAGCGCACAAGUAGAGUGAUCGAAAGAUGAAAAGCACUUUGAAAAGAGGGUUAAAUAGCACGUGAAAUUGUUGAAAGGGAAGCGCUUGUGACCAGACUUGUGCCGGGCUGAUCAUCCAGUGUUCUCACUGGUGCACUCGACCCGGCUCAGGCCAGCGUCGGUUUUCGUGGGGGGAUAAAAGCUUCGGGAA
RNAcentral lists this ribosomal RNA (924 nucleotides) under Sordariomycetes sp. genotype 32. RNAcentral describes it as "eukaryotic LSU rRNA". The stretch from base 404 to 924 matches the Rfam family "Eukaryotic large subunit ribosomal RNA", at positions 1 to 534 of the family's 3401-position model. The record is from RNAcentral. Lineage: Eukaryota; Fungi; Ascomycota; Sordariomycetes.